This 268-nucleotide long non-coding RNA is filed under the name Linum usitatissimum (flax). RNAcentral describes it as "long non-coding RNA (LUSI_LNC006228)". Lineage: Eukaryota; Viridiplantae; Streptophyta; Magnoliopsida; Malpighiales; Linaceae. The record is from RNAcentral.
GUGUAUGUAUAUUUUAGAUUAAUAGAUGUGUAUGUAUUUUUUAUUUUUGUUUUACAAUUUUUUUGGCAAAACGGUGAAUAACCGUUAGGAACGAUUAUAAUCGUAACCGGAUCGGUAUAGAGAUGAAACUAAAUCUGUUAUCAAAAUGAAAACGGGUAUGGUUAUGGUUAAUAAUCGCCGCAAAAGUGGAUGAAUAAUGGUAUGCCAUAACCAUCCUCGAACCUCCCCGUUGCCAACCUACUCAAUUUUUUGGUCACCCAUAAAGUGC